This 71-nucleotide transfer RNA is filed under the name Marmota monax (woodchuck). RNAcentral's name for it is "tRNA.Ala". The record is from RNAcentral. Lineage: Eukaryota; Metazoa; Chordata; Mammalia; Rodentia; Sciuridae.
GGGGAUGUGGCUCAGCGGUAGAGUGCUCAACUAGCAUAUAUGAGGCCCUGAGUUCUAUCCUCAGCACUGCA